Molecule: ribosomal RNA, 466 nt
Filed under: uncultured bacterium
Lineage: Bacteria
Description: partial 16S ribosomal RNA
Rfam family: Bacterial small subunit ribosomal RNA
Source: RNAcentral
GAUGAACGCUGGCGGCGUGCUUAACACAUGCAAGUCGAACGGAAAGGCUCCUGCUUGCAGGGGUACUCGAGUGGCGAACGGGUGAGUAACACGUGGGUGAUCUGCCCUGCACUUCGGGAUAAGCCUGGGAAACUGGGUCUAAUACCGGAUAGGACGAUGGUUUGGAUGCCAUUGUGGAAAGUUUUUUCGGUGUGGGAUGAGCUCGCGGCCUAUCAGCUUGUUGGUGGGGUAAUGGCCUACCAAGGCGUCGACGGGUAGCCGGCCUGAGAGGGUGUACGGCCAACAUGGGAACGAGGUACGGGCCCAGCCUCUACCGGGGGGAAGAGGGGGGAAUAUUUGAAAAUGGGGGGAAGGCUGGUGCAAGGGCGGCGGGUGGGGGAAUACGGGCUUCGGGGUGUAAACCUCCUUCGGCUGGGAACAAGCCGAAGUGACGGGACCUGGAAGAGAAGGCACCGGCAAACACGUG